Long non-coding RNA from Cyprinus carpio carpio, 1611 nucleotides. NCBI's taxonomy places the organism in Eukaryota, Metazoa, Chordata, Actinopteri, Cypriniformes, Cyprinidae. The record is from Ensembl.
AGAAUUACAAUAGCUACUUCGCAUGUGAGCGCUGCACAGUUAAAGGCACCUAUGUGGGACGAGUUGUUCUUGGUGCUACAUCGCCUGGUGUUGUUGCAAGGUCUGAAGCAGAUUUCAGUAGACUUGCCUACAAAGACCAUCAAAUUGAGAAAUCCCCACUGACACUAGCUGGAAUUCCAUGUGUUCGGCCAUUUGCAUUGGACUACAUGCACUUGGUGUGUUUGGGUGUAGUUAGGAGAAUGCUUCACUACAUGCAGAGAGGACCCCACACAUGCAGACUGUCAUUUCAGCAAAGGAGUGACAUUUCAGAUAAACUAAAGGCAUUGAAUGGAGAACUACCUAGUGAGUUUGCACGGCAACCUAGGACUUUACUGGAAUUGGACAGAUGGAAGGCUACGGAACUUAGACAGUUUCUCCUUUAUACUGGACCAGUGGUUCUAAGAAAAGUGGUUUUACAUGCUGUAUACAAACACUUUCUUUCCUUGAUGUCACUCUGUUCUUCCUUUAAUGUGAUUGGUCAUGCAAGGAAUUCUGCCUAGCAACAAGAGAACAAAAGCACUGAUUGGUGGAUUAGAAAAUUCGUCCUUUUGGCCUCGUCUAUUCGGUUGCUGACACCAAAUUUCAAGACGGAAGUUUUUCUUCGUGUACUAUGUUGGGUGACAUGAGAUAAGAAGAUGUGGAAAUGUUUGCAUGUUCAACAGAAUUACGGACAAAAAUCUACAGCAGGAAUUCUAUGAAAACCUGGACAGACACAGUUCACGGUUCAUGGACCUUUUUACAACCAGAAGGGGGACUCCUGGUCAGCACUUGUUGAAGUUUUUACAGCAAAUAGAGAAUUUCAAGUUUCCCUCUAAAGUCAGACCAGCCAACUGAGGUCUGAACCCUUGUUCAUCCAGGACUGCCUAUCAUGCUCGGAGAUGAAGACUCUUCUUUCUUCAAGUCAUGUUUAGUGUCUGAUCAUUGCAACACUAUCCUUGAUGUGCCAAUGGGGCUCUUAUUCGAGGACACCGAUCUUCAGCCCCCCCAACUCCUUGCAUUUGACUUCUUCGAUUGGAAUAAUUCUUGAAGGCCAAGUGGUGAUGGACAAAAUGCAGGACCUCCCACAGGCAAUCUGUCUUCUCUUCGGUCUGAUUUAUGCACUAGACCUGAAUUACACAAAAUCACUUGCCAACUCAUUGAUUUCAUCCAGCAUGUACUAAUGACAAUGGGACAGAAUGCUCUCAAGCCUAGAGUGCAGUCUCUAGCAAACCAGCUUUUUGCUUAAGAAACGUCACUGUGGUACUUUAACACCACCCUCUGUUUUGGGUUUUUCCCCCAUCAAUUUACUCCAUUAUCCAUUUAUGAAGAAUAAAAAGUAUGUUUAAAUAGUUAAAUGCACAGAGUUCUACAACUGAUGUGCAGUAUUUAAUUUGGGAUAUUGUUACCAUUGUUACACCUCUGUAGUGUGGUUGUGACCCGGUAAUAUUUCCAUUACAGUAUAGUUUGUACUGUAAUAUUGUGACAUUUGGGCCAAAGAUAUGUUCAGUAUGUAUUAGUUUAGUUUGAUGUGUUUGCAGAAAGCUUAAAUGGUGAGCUGUAGUAAGACCGUAGUUCUUAUGUUUAGCCUACAUG